CAAGCCCAAAGGGUCAUUUCGUGGUUGAGGCUUCCAGGCGUUGCUGAAGUGGGUCAGGAACCCGGCCCGGCCUGACCAGCCUUAGGAGGCCCAGCAAAUUGAGGCCCACACGUUAGCUUUAGUCUCACUUCGACGGGAUGGUAUGGGCCCGAGAAGUGGAACACUACUGGAUGCCAAGAACUCUGACUGACUGCUGUGUGCCCCGGCACUGGCCGAACUGAAGGGGAGAAACCCAGCUCCGGCCCCUCACCUACAUCGCAGUCGAGGUCCCCUAGAGCUGUCGGGGACGGCACAGCCUUUGCAGCCCCUUCGCCUACCUCCGACUUGCCUGGAAGCACGGAACUGAUGGCCGGGAUUGUGGCGAGGCAAAACCCCCAUCUGAUCCCAUUGAGAUGGGGUCCUAUCGUGGCCAGGAGAAGGCCUCUUGCGAUAUCCGAUCGAGAGACACAUGGUCAGGGUUGUUAUCGCCCCCGAUCAAGGGCAACCCCAAUCCAAAUAUGCCAAAAGCUUCAGUUUGGGGGGGUGUCAGGGGAGCUAAGG
This 540-nucleotide long non-coding RNA is filed under the name Elaeis guineensis (African oil palm). RNAcentral's name for it is "long non-coding RNA (EGUI_LNC032012)". Lineage: Eukaryota; Viridiplantae; Streptophyta; Magnoliopsida; Arecales; Arecaceae. The record is from RNAcentral.